UCUACUUUCCUCCCACUCACUUCUUUUGAGAGAAACUCCUUUUCUAGGAAGGAUCCAUUUUUAGCUACAAAUAUUUUGCCUUCGGAUCUGUGAUAGAAGGUGUACCCAACAGUUUCCUUUGGGUAUCCUAUGAAGACGCAUUUCUCUGAUUUGGGUUCAAGCUUAUCAGGUGAAGCUUUUUCACAUAAGCAUCGCAGCCCCAAACUUUAAGAAACAACAACUUUGGUUUCUUUCCAAACCACAGUUCAUAAGGUGUCGUCUCAAGGGAUUUUGAUGGUGCCCUAUUUAACGUGAAUGUAGCUGUCUCUAAUGCUUAAUCCCAAAACGACAGUGGUAAAUCGGUAAGAGACAUCAUAGAUCUCACCAUUUCUAAGAAAGUGCGGUUACGACGUUGGACACACCAUUACACUGUGGUGUUCCAGGUGGCGUGAGCUGUGAAACUAUACCACAUUGUUUUAAUGAAGGCCAAACUCGUAAUUCAAAUGUUCGCCUCUGCGAUCAGAUUGUAGAAACUUAAUUUUCUUGUUACGAUGAUUCUCCACUUCACUCUGAAAUUCUUUGAACUUUUCAAAUGUUUCAGACAUGUGUUUCAUCAAGCAGAUAUACCAAUAUCUUCUCAAAUCAUGUAUGAAGGUCAGAAAAUAACGAUACCCGCCUUGAGCAUCAACAAUCAUUGGACUUCAUACAUCGACAUAUAUUAUUUCCAAUAAGUCACUAGCUUGUUCCAUUGUUCUGGAGAACGGAGUUUUAGUCAUCUUUCCCAUGAGGCACGGCUCACAAGCAUCAAGUGAUUCAUAAUCAAGUGAUUCCAAAAGCCCAUCAGCAUGGAGUUUCUUCAUGCGCUUUACACCAAUAUGACCUAAACGGCAGUGCCACAAGUAUGUUGCAUUAUCAUUAUCAACUUUGCAUCUUUUGGCAUCAAUAUUAUGAAUAUCUAUAUCACUACAAUCAAGAUUCAAUAAACCAUCAACAUUGGGUGUAUGACCAUGGAAGGUUUUAUUCAUGUAAACAGAAUAACAAUUAUUCUCUGUCUUAAAUGAAUAACCGUAUUGCAAUAAACAUGAGCUAAUCAUAUUCAUGCUCAACGCAAACACCAAAUAACAUUUAUUUAGGUUCAACACUAAUCCCGAAAGUAUAGGGGGUGUACGAUGAUGAUCAUAUCAACCUUGGAACCACUUCCAACACUCAUCGUCACUUCAUCCUUAACUAAUCUCUAUGUAUUCUGUAACUCCUGUUUCGAGUUACUAAUCUUAGCAACUGAACAAGUAUCAAAUACCCAGGGGAUACUACGAGCACUAGUAAGGUACACAUCAAUAACAUGUAUAUCAAAUAUACCUUUGUUCACUUUACCAUCCUUAUUAUCCACCAAAUAUUCGGGGCAGUUCCACUUUCGAUGACCAUUUCCUUUGCAGUAGAAGCACUCAAUUUCAGGCGUUGGUCCAGCUUUGGGCUUCUUCACGGGAGUGACAACUUGCUUGCCAUUCUACUUGAAGUUCCCUUUCAUUCGCUUUGCCCUUUACUUGAAACUAGUGGUCUUGUCAAUCAUCAACACUUGAUGCUCUUUCUUGAUUUCUACCUUCGUUGAUUUCAGCAUCACAAAGAGCUUGGGAAUCGUUUUCGUCAUCCCUUGCAUAUUAUAGUUUAUCACGAAGUUCCAGUAACUUGGGUGAUGGUGACUAGAGAUCUUUGUCAAUCACUAUCUUAUCUGGAAGAUUAACUCCCACUUGAUUCAAGUGAUUGUAGUACCCAUACAUUCUGAGCACAUGCUCACUAGUUGAGCAAUUCUCCUCCAUCUUUUAGGCAAAGUAAUUGUCAGAGGUCUCAUACCUCUUGACAUGGGCAUGAGUCAGAAAUACCAAUUUUAGCUCUUGGAACAUCUCAUAUGCUUCGUGACGUUUCAAAAAUGUUUUUGAAGUCCCGGUUCUAAGCUGUAAAGCAUGGUGCACUAAACUAUCAAGUAGUCAUCAUAUUGAGCUAGCCAAACAUUCAUAAUGUCUGCAUCUGCUCCUGCAAUAGGUCUAUCACCUAGCGGUGCAUCAAGGACAUAAUUCUUCUGUGCAACAAUGAGGAUAAACCUCAGAUCAUGGACCUAGUCUGCAUCAUUGCUACUAUCAUCUUUCAACUCAAUUUUCUCUAGGAACAUAUAAAAACAUAGGGAAGCUAUAACGCGAGCUAUUGAUCUACAACAUAACUUGCAAAAUACUAUCAUGACUAAGUUCAUGAUAAAUUAAAGUUCAAUUAAUCAUAUUACUUAAGAACUCCCACUUAGAUAGACAUCCCUCUAGUCAUCUAAAUGAUCACGUGAUCCAAAUCAACUAAACCAUGUCCGAUCAUCACGUGAGAUGGAGUAGUUUCAAUGGUGAACAUCACUAUGUUGAUCAUAUCUACUAUAUGAUUCAUGCUCGACCUUUCGAUCUCCAGCGUUCCGAGAUCAUAUCUGCAUAUGCUAGGCUCGUCAAGUUUAACCCGAGUAUUCUACGUGUGCAAAACUGGCUUGCACCCAUUGUAUAUGAACGUAGAACCUAUAACACCCGAUCAUCACGUGGUGUCUCAGCACGAAUAACUGUAGCAACGAUGCAUACUCAGGGAGAACACUUAUACCUUGAAAUUUAGUAAGGGAUCAUCUUAUAAUGCUACCGCCGUACUAAGCAAAAUAAGAUGCAUAAAAGAUAAACAUCACAUGCAAUCAAAAAUAUGUGACAUCAUAUGGCCAUCAUCAUCUUGUGCUCAUGAUCUCCAUCACCGAAGCAUCGUCAUGAUCUCCAUCUUCACCGGCAUGACACCUUGAUCUCCAUCAUAGCAUUGUUGUCGUCUCGCCAACUAUUGUUACUUUGACUAUCGCUACUGUUUAGUGAUAAAGUAAACAAUUACAUGGCGAUUGCAUUGCAUACAAUAAAGCGACAAUCAUAUGGCUCCUGCCAGUUGCUGAUAACUUUGUUACAAAACAUGAUCAUAUCAUACAACAAUUUAUAUCACAUCAUGCCUUGACCAUAUCACACCACAGCAAGCCCUGCAAAAACAAGUUAGACGUCCUCUACUUUGUUGUUCCAAGUUUUACGUGGCUGCUAUGGGCUUCUAGCAAGAACCGUUCUUACCUACGCAUCAAAACCACAAUGAUUUUUCGUCAAGUGUGUUGUUUUAACCUUCAACAAGGACCGGGCGUAGCCACACUCGAUUCAACUAAAGUUGGAGAAACAAACACUCACCAGCCACCUAUGUGCGAAGCACGUCGGUAGAACCAAUCUUGCGUAAGCGUACGCAUAAUGUCGGCCUGAGCCGCUUCAUCCAACAAUACCGCCGAAUCAAAGUAUGACAUGCUGGUAAGAAGUAUGACUAUUAUAACCCACAACUCUUUGUGUUCUACUCGUGCAUAUAACAUCUACGCAUAGACCUGGCUUGGAUGCCACUGUUGGGGAACGCGGUAAUUUCAAAAAAAUCCUACGAUCACGCAAGAACUAUCUCUAGGUGAUGCAUAGCAACGAGAGGGCAGAGUGUUGUCUACGUACCCUCGUAGACCGAAAGUGGAAGCAUUAUGACAACGCGAUUGAUGUAGUCGUACGUCUUCAUGAUCCGACCGAUCCUAGCACCGAAGGUACGGCACCUCCACGAUCUGCACACGUUCAGCUCGGUGACGUCCCAUGAACUAUAGAUCUAGCUGAGGUCGAGGGAGAGUUCGUCAUCACGACGGCGUGAUGAUGGUGAUGAUGAAGUUACCAGCGCAGGGCUUCGCCUAAGCACUACGAUGAUAUGACCGAGGUGGAAAUCUGUGGAGGGGGGCACCGCACACGGCUAAAACAAUUGUCAACAUGUGUGUCCUAGGGGUGCCCCUCUCCCCCAUAUAUAAAGGAGCAAGGGGAGGGGGCCGGCGGCCUCAUAGGGUGCGCCCCAAGGGGGGAAUCCUACUCCUACUAGGAGUAGGUUCCCCCUUUCCUAGUCCAACUAGGAGGGGAAGGAAAGAGGAGGAGGGGAGAAGGAAAGUGGGGGCCGGCCCCCCAAGCCCUAAACCAAUUCGGUUUGGGCCUAGGGGGGCGUGCCCCACAGCUCCCUUGCUGCCCUCUAUUUCCACUAAGGCCCAUGAAGGCCCAUUGACCCCCCGGGGGGUUCCGGUAACUCCCCGGUACUCCGGUAUUUAUCCGGUGACCCCCGGAACCUUUCUGGUGUCUGAAUAUAACCUUCCAAUAUAUCAAUCUUUAUGUCUCAACCAUUUAGAGACUCCUCGUCAUGUCCAUGAUCACAUCCGGGACUCCGAACAACCUUCGGUACAUCAUAUCACAUAAACUCAUAAUACCAAUCGUCAUCGAACGUUAAGCGUGCGGACCCUACGGGUUCGAGAACGAUGUAGACAUGACAUGACCGAGACACAUCUCCCGUCAAUAACCAAUAGCGGAACCUGGAUGCUCAUACUGGUUCCUACAUAUUCUACGAAGAUCUUUAUCGGUCAAACCGCAUAACAACAUACGUUGUUCCCUUCGUCAUCGGUAUGUUACUUGCCCGAGAUUCGAUCAUCGGUAUCCCAAUACCUAGUUCAAUCUCAUUAUCAUAAGUCUCUUUAGUCGUUUUGCAAUACUUCAUCCCACAACUAACUCAUUAGUCACAAUGCUUGCAAGGCUUAUAGUGAUGAGUAUUACCGAGAGGGCCCAGAGAUACCUCUCCGAAACAUGGAGUGACAAAUCCUAAUCUCGAUCUAUGCCAACCCAACAAACACCUUCGUAGACACCUAUAGAGCACCUUUAUAAUCACCCAUUUACGUUGUGACGUUUGGUAGCACACAAAGUGUUCCUCCGGUAUUCGGGAGUUGCAUAAUCUCACAAUCUGAGGAACUUGUAUAAGUCAUGAAGAAAGCAGUAGCAAUGAAAUUGACACGAUCAUAAUGCUAAGCUAACGGAUGGGUCAUGUCCAUCACGUCAUUAUCCUAAUGAUGAGAUCCCAUUCAUCAAAUGACAACACAUGUCAAUGGUUAGGAAAUGUAACCAUCUUUGAUUAACGAGCUAGUCAAGUAGAGGCAUACUAGGGACUAUAUGUUUUGUCUAUGUAUUCACACAUGUACUAAGUUUCCGGUUAAUACAAUUCUAGCAUGAAUAAUUGUCGUGGGAAACGAACACCUAUGGGGCAAGGGGCCCCUUUUGGUCCGGCAGGGAGCGGAGGGCGCACGAAGAGCGGAUCGAGGCGGAGCACGCGAGCGAUCUUUACCCAGUUUCGGAGCUCUCCGGAGAGAUAAUACUCCUAUUGUUGCUUUGUGGUUGUAUUCUGCCCUUGCUCGAGAGCGUGGGAGCCUUUUGUUUCCAAUGGGUCGAACCUCGUCUGUGGUUCUCCUGGUCCGAACCCCCUCUACGUUGCGCGUGGGCCUCCUUUUAUAUGCAAAGAAGGGGUCACCGACAGGUGGCAACACAGAGAAGGGUACAAAUGUAAAAAACGAGGUGGUUGGUACAGUUAUUUUUACAGUGCAUCCUACCUAACCCUGACGGCAGGGGACAAGGGCAUUAAAUGCCCGUCUGAGUCGCCCAAACAGUGCAGAAAAGCGACCGCUAGGGGCGGCACUGCUUGCCACGAUGGCCUUCUCGUCAUCUCCACUUGCCACCUCGCACCGCUUGGCUACGCAACCUCCCGACACGUGCGCCCGGAAUGGUCUCAGGGCGACACGCCGAAGAGGUGCGCUGGAGCGUGGGCACGGAGUGGUGGCUUCGCCGCGGCAAGCGCCUUGCCGCGGUUGUUGUCCUGUCGCACCCGAAAGCUUGUUGCUCGUCGGGUCUUGCCGGGACGCGCGGCGCGUCGCGGCAAGUUCUUUGAAGUGCCCUGGUUGGCCUUCCCGGCAAGCUCCUCUUGCCGGGGCCUUGUCCUUCCCGGCAAGCUCCUCUUGCCGGAGCCUUGUCUUCUCAGUUAAAACACUUUGUUCUUGAAUGGCAUCACUAGGGACUACGGAGGAUCUUGGCGGACACCCGGCGAGCCCUGCCGCGGGACGCUGCAACUGCUCGUGCACAAGUUCGGGAUACUAAGGUACCCUUACUCUAGUACACCGACAGGAGCCCCCGGGCCUGGGCCACACACGGUGCCGAGCGCUGUUGGGCCAGGCCCAAAACAGGGCACGGGCACACGCGGCCUGGGUCCAUACCAAAUCUAACUCCGUAUCCACCGCGCCCUCCCGUAACGGCACGCGUCAAUCGCGGCGUCGUGGGAGAGAUCGUGGGUGAUUAUUAUUUUAAAAUGAACGCAACAUUCGCCUCCUCCUCUUUAUAAGCAGGGGAAACAGGGGUCGUUCCCCCAGCUUCGCCACUUGCAGUUGCUUCCUCAGAAAUCUCCGCCGCUCCCCUCCGCUUUCCAAAGCCGAAAGGGAGCAGCGCUCCGUUCCUCGGCACUACCGUCGCCACCAACGCCCCCGCUUUCCCUCACCGCCUCCGCCAUGGCUCCGAAGACCGGGAAGAGUACGAAGUCGGCCGAGGCACUGCGGCUUGAGGCGCUGCNNNNNNNNNNNNNNNNNNNNNNNNNNNNNNNNNNNNNNNNNNNNNNNNNNNNNNNNNNNNNNNNNNNNNNNNNNNNNNNNNNNNNNNNNNNNNNNNNNNNNNNNNNNNNNNNNNNNNNNNNNNNNNNNNNNNNNNNNNNNNNNNNNNNNNNNNNNNNNNNNNNNNNNNNNNNNNNNNNNNNNNNNNNNNNNNNNNNNNNNNNUGGUUCUAUCUUUUCUGGUCGACGGAGAUGCGGGCGCAUCCGCGCACGCAGGUACUUUCCGCCGCUGCUUCCACUUCGAAUCGGUGCCCAAGAGGAUACCCCUUCUUUCCACUGUUCUUCUAUUGCGGGCUUUGCCCGCCCUUCUCCAAUUUCUUCUGUGAUAUCAUGAAUACCUACGGGUUUCAUCUCCUCGGUUUCACACCCAACGCUGUUCUGACCAUGGCGGUUUUCGCACAUCUCUGCAAGAACUUCGUCGGAAUCCACCCAAACGUUGCCCUUUUUCGCCACUACUUCAUCCCCCGGGCCGAGAAAGGAGAGCCCUUAGCUAGCGGAAUCGCCUGGAUCUCGAGAGUCGGCAUGAAGGAGGCCUAUCUGGAGGGGGAGCUCCGUAGCAAAUGGGAGGAGUGGAGAGCGGAGUGGUGUUGGAUUGUUGACGAGAACCCGCAUCCAUUCACCAACUUGCGCCAAGCCCGAGUAGUGCGCGGCGGCGAUUGGAGCGCCCUGGCGGCGGACGAUGCUAAAUUGAAGAUUGCCACCACCCGGAUCUUGCGGCUCAGGCUAGCCGGGCUAACUGUAGGAGCUGUCGGCGCGGACUUUCUUCACCGCCGUAUCGCCCCUUUGCAGGAGAGGGGGAGACCCGCCUGGCUGUUCGGGGGUCCGGCGGAUAUCAUGAGGCUGCGCCCAGGCCUCAAUUUUAAUUUCACUGUUCUGGAGUUGGACGGGACGCUCAAGGAACUGUUCAAGCACGACCCCAACCAUCCCGAGUGGUUCAGGCUGCCGCAGGGCAUCGUCCCAUUGUGCAACAACUCCCAACUCGAUCGCAUCCGCGCAAUGAUGCCAGAGUGCGACUCGCAUGGGAUUAUCCCAACUUGGCAGCAGCCCGCCGACGACGUCGUGCAGCAAUUCUUCGACGACUUGGUGGAGGUGGCGGUCCGUGCCGACGAGCAGAGGCUCCUCACCCGCGAUACCACCGAUGAUGAGAUGCGGCGCAUCGCCACCAGGGCGGAGGAGGCGGCAGCGGCCGCCGCCGCGGGCGAGUUCGGGUUUACUGUGGAGGAGGCCGAGGCAGCCGAGGCGGCAAGCCUUGUCGACCGAGAGGAGCUUGUCAGGGAGGAAGAGCCCGAAGCCGAAACGAGCGAGCCCGCCGAGGGUGCGAGUGGCCAGCCGUCUUCAAGAAACUUGCAACAGGCGGAGCCCUCAGUGCAGCCUCCAGCUCAACCAAGAAGGCGCCUCCGCAGGACCGGAGACGCUGCAGGGCGGAAAACGGGCCAACAGCCGCCGCGCCGCGGGACACGCUCCACCACGCCAAGCACCAUUGCCACGGGAGCAUCUCACGCCGCACCGGCAACUGGAGCGGGGUCUUCUCGGGCCGCCGCUUCCGAUCCUGCUGCAGCUCCCGCCAAGCGUCCAAGGGAGCCCACUCCUCUGCCUCGUCGCGCUGAAAGAGUACCAGACUUUGAUCUCUCUGCGCUCAGCUCCGACGAGGAGGAAGAAGAAGAGGAGGACGAGUAAGUCUUUUUUGUUAUACUUAUGGUCCUUUUAUUCUUGCGGUUUCUUGUCUCGUAUCUGAUCUGCUUUCUUCUGGACCCUGUCCCUUUCCAGGACUCUGGCCCAGAGAGCGGCAAAGAGGGUCAAGGUCCCCGUGGUUGUCAUCGAGGACGAUCCUGCUGUAACAGUAGAGGACGCGUCCGAGACCACCUUGUCGGACCCGGCAACCUCUCCCCGAAGCAGCUCCCAGUGCAGCCCCCAGCGUAAGUUCAUAGUUUUACUUCCCACUAUCAGGUGCGCAUGGGUGUUCUUUCCUUGCUGAUAUCCUCAUUGUUGAUUUGCUUGUGCAGGAGCAGAACAGGCCCACCAGGAACAGCCAGAAGUCGCUCCUGAGGUGUUGUCUGCUUCCACUACGCCGCCAAGGGGUGACUCCCCGGCAAGGGAACGCUCUCCGGCAAGGGACGGGACCAGCGAUCCCCCGGUGGUGGAGCCCAUGGUUACAGAGCCCAGCACAGGUAAUCCUCCUUGUCAGAGAACUUCCCUUGGUUCUUCUUUCUCCUGAUCUUCUUCUUGCAUAUUUGCUUAACUUUUUCUUCCUUCCUCGAUCUUCAGAUCCAUCUACCGCAGACCUGAUGGAGACCAAGGGCGCCGGCGAGGAAGGCGUGCAUGGUGGCACCAACGACGCUGCCGCCAACGAAGAGAGGGCCGGCGCUGAUGACCCCGCCAGCGAGGAGGCUGCCAAGGCUACCUCCACGGAAGCUGGUGAGGGGUCGGGCGAUCGCACUGACGGCCCUGAGGCCGCAGGAGCGCCAGGCGCUGCACCGACCGCCGAGCCCUCCGCCACUGCCGCGGAGCCAGACUCCGAAGAGCCCCAGCCUGGCGCCUACUUAAAGGCCGGCGACGGGAUUUUCAUCAAACUUCCCUGGGCGUCGAGCUCCAGGGCGCCGGUCGAGGGAGAAGCUUUCGACGAGGAGGUGCUCGCCUCCGCCGGGCUGUCGUUGGUCGACACGCCCGGCAACAGCGACGAGCCUGAAGAGGAGCAGCUGCUGCGGAGGUUGACGUCGCUCUACCGCGCCCGGCAGGCCAAGCUGGCCUCCCGGGAAGCGCUUGUCGCGAAGGCUGGCGUGGACUUGGAGAAGCGCGCGGAGGAGCUCCGAAGCGCCAACCAAGAAGAUCUCCAGUCGGUGGCGCAGGAGCGAGAGCAGCUUGCCGGGGAGCGCACGGCCUACCUCCUCGAGAAGGCCGAGGCUGAAGAACAACAGCGGCUGGCUGCCGAGAAGCAGGCUGCGCGAGAAGGCGAGCUGGUGCAGAAGAAAGCCUAUCUCGACAGCUAUGAAGAAGAGCUUGUCGGGCGCGAGCAAGCACUCGACGGGGCGCUCAAGGAGGCAAAGGACGCCGCCGCAACUGCUGAGGCCGCCAAGAAGGAGUUGGAGGCGAAGGUGACGCAGUUGGAGGCCAAUCUGAAGGCGAGCGGUGAAGAGCUUGCCGCGCUCAAGCGCGAGCGCGAGAAGGAUGCUGCCGCUCAUGGUGAGCUGCAGGGUCUUCUCGCCGAGAGGAGCAAGGAGCUCAGCGCCGCCAAAGACUCCAAUGAUGAUCUCGAGCUGAAGCUGAUCACGCUGACCCGGACGUUGGAUAGCGCCAAGGAGCGAGAGGCGACCUUGGCGGAUAAGGUCAAGGCCGACUCAGAACUGCUGGCGAGCAUUGCCGUCACCCAGAACUCAUUCAGGGAGAUGGUAGAGCACUGGACCGAGGGUCUGGUGAACAUCGCCGCAGUCAUCGAUGGAGAGCUGGCGCAGCUGGGGAUGGAGAACUUUGGAUAUCCUUCCGAUGAGCAUCUCCAGCCCAGCGCCAAGCUUAGCCUAUUCUUCAAAGGCGUGGCGACGGCCCUCCAGCAGCUCCGGGAGAAGAUCCCGAAGCAGCUGGCCGACGAGUCACGCGCAAUCUGCGCCAGAGUCUUGGAGAAGGUGUUGGUGAAGGUGCUCUUCCGCAAUCCGGGCCUCAACCUCACCAACGUCCUCAAGAAGCUGCCGACGGGUGCUGAUCUUGAGGAGCUUAGGGCCCUUGUCGCACCCAUUGUGGACAAGGUGAAUGAAGUCAGGAGGGUCGACGGUGAUCGCGUAGACUAGGCCGCCUUUUUCCUCCUUUUCUUGCCGCUGCUGAUCAUGUUGCGAGAACCAUUUAUUAGAGCUGCGACAAGUUCUUUUUGUAUCAUAACUUUAUCUUGGGCAGUAUUGGCUAUGUUAUUUCCUUUGCUUGAUUCCUUCCUUUGUAUGUUUUUACCCUACGCUUUCAGGGAACUUGCCGGCGCAGGCACCCUUGCCGCGAGCGCUGAGUGCGGAACAUCAGCAGCCUGCUGGCGGUGCUGCUUCCGGCAAGAAACCUUGUCGCAACUAGUCGCGGCACACUUAAGUUGUUGAGCGGACUCGAAACAAAGUAAGGGCGCAACUAGCCACGAAUUGGUUCCUCCGCCCACAGGUUUUCCAUACAAGGUACGGUUGUUCGAAGGAGAUAACUUAAAAAUUUAAAAACUAAUUGCUCAAACUUUGGCAACUUAGCUUUUCUGUCGUUUGCUUCCCGGCAAGGCAAAACUUGGUUGAACGACGCCUGUUCCACAUCAUAAUNNNNNNNNNNNNNNNNNNNNNNNNNNNNNNNNNNNNNNNNNNNNNNNNNNNNNNNNNNNNNNNNNNNNNNNNNNNNNNNNNNNNNNNNNNNNNNNNNNNNNNNNNNNNNNNNNNNNNNNNNNNNNNNNNNNNNNNNNNNNNNNNNNNNNNNNNNNNNNNNNNNNNNNNNNNNNNNNNNNNNNNNNNNNNNNNNNNNNNNNNNNNNNNNNNNNNNNNNNNNNNNNNNNNNNNNNNNNNNNNNNNNNNNNNNNNNNNNNNNNNNNNNNNNNNNNNNNNNNNNNNNNNNNNNNNNNNNNNNNNNNNNNNNNNNNNNNNNNNNNNNNNNNNNNNNNNNNNNNNNNNNNNNNNNNNNNNNNNNNNNNNNNNNNNNGUGCGAGGGAACCUUCCUUUCCUUUGUUGAGAAAAAAUAAGGAAGAGAAAAUAAAGAUAUGGAGCCCCAUGGCUCGUUAUUGCUUACCGGGGCAGGUGCUGCACAAAGUGUCAGAUAACACACAUGCAAGAAAGAAAUUAAUGCAUGAAAUGGACAAGUUGUGCGGAGCACAUGAGUUUAUUUAUGCACGGGAUCUGCGCCCGGCUUUGUACAAAGGAUUACAUGUAACAGCGACAAGACUUGUACAAAAGGUGGUUGCCGGAAUGGACUCCUGCAACCGCGCCCUAUGGGUAAAACUUACGAAGAUGCUCUAUGUUCCAGGAGUUGCUCACCGGAAUGCCAUCUUCGGUCUCAAGGCGGACAGCGCCAGGCCUAGUGACUCGUUUCACCUGAUAGGGGCCUUCCCACUUCGGCGUCAACUUGUUGGAAUUCUUGGCGGAUUGAACGCGCCGAAGAACAAGGUCGCCUUCCUCGAGACUUCUGGCAUUGACUCUGCGGCUAUGGUAGUGACGCAAAGCUUGCUGGUAUCGAGCAGCUCGUACAGCAGCCUGAAGAUGAUCUUCCUCGAGGAGCAGCGCGUCAUCUUGUCGCAGCUGUUCUUGCUCAAGCUCAUCAUAAGCGAGCACUCGAGGUGAUCCGUAUACGAGUUCCGUGGGGAGAACUGCCUCUGCUCCAUAGACUAGAGCAAAAGGCGUCUGGCCAGUGGCUCGAUUUGGCGUCGUCCUGAUCGACCAAAGAACCACCGGCAGCUCUUCGAUCCAGUUUCUUACGCACUUGCGCAGCCUGUCGAAAGUUCUGGUCUUGAGUCCGCGCAGCACUUCGGCGUUUGCCCUCUCCGCUUGACCGUUGCUUCUCGGGUGAGCAACAGAAGCGAAGCAUACCUUGGCGCCAAGGUCUUGGACGUACUGUAUGAAGGUGCGGCUCGUGAACUGGGUGUCGUUGUCGGUGAUGAUCCUGUUAGGGAUCCCGAAACGGCAAACAAUUGACCUGAAGAACUUGACUGCUGACUGUGUUGUCACCUUCCUCACUGCUUCCACUUCCGGCCACUUUGUGAACUUGUCGAUUGCCACGUACAAGUACUCAAAGCCCCCGACAGCGCGGGGGAAGGGGCCGAGGAUGUCGAUCCCCAGACCGAAAAUGGCCAGGAUAAAGGGAUCGUCUGGAGAGCUUGAGCUGGCUGAUGUAUCUGCUUGGAAUGGAACUGGCACGCUUCACACUUGGUUACUUGUGCAGUUGCAUCCUGGAGGGCUGUCGGCCAAAAGAAACCUUGUCGAAACGCUUUGUCGGCAAGCGCUCUUGCACCAAUGUGGUGACCACAUAUGCCUCCAUGUAUCUCUGCCAACAGCUUCUGUCCAUCUUCCCGGUGAAUACACUUCAAUUUCACACCGUUGAGUCUUCUUCUGUACAGUGUGCUGUCAACAAACUGGUACAUACUUGACUGUCGGGCUACUCUUUCCGCCUCUUCUUGCUCUUCGGGAAGUUCUCCUGUAUGGAGGAAACGGACAAUCUGUUGUGCCCAUGCUGGAGCUUGUGGCUCGACAACAAGGACUAAAGGCACAUCUGCUGUUGCGGGAACAUCCGCUUCUAUGGCUAGACCCUGCGGCUCAGCCGGAGCUUGAUGUUCCGCGGCAAGCUUGCCGGAGCAAAACUUGUCGGGAGCGUCUGCUUCAACGAAACAAACCCUAUGGCUUGUCGGAGCAGACUGCUCCCCAGCAUCCUUGGCAUUGAUCUUGGGGACCUUCUUGGCGGCGGCUUCGGGGAGCUCUGCCGGAAAGUAGUCACCAGAAAUCAACUUCCUCUUCUUGCUAUGUCCAGUUGAUGGCGUCACAGACGGCUGAGUCAGCUUGAGCAUAAAGAUCCCCGGUUCCACAGGUAACUUCAAUGCUGCGCACUUUGACAGGCCAUCGGCUAUGUCAUUCUGAGCCCUUGGAACGUGUUCCAUCUAUAGACCGUCAAAGUGCUCUUCUAGCUUCCUCACUUCAUCAACAUAUGCUUCCAUCAAUGGACUCUGAUAAUCUUUGUUCACUUGGCGGACGACAAGCUGCGAGUCACCCCUGACAAUAAGCUUCUUGAUCCCAAGGUCUGCCGCGAUUCUAAGUCCGGCAAGCAAACCUUCAUACUCUGCAGUAUUGUUGGUUUCCUACUCCUUGGGAAAGUGCAUCUGGAUGACGUACUUGAGGUGUUCUCCGGUGGGUGCGACAAGUAACACGCCCGCACCGGCGCCUUGCAGCGAGAAGGCACCGUCGAAGUACAUGAUCCAUUCUUUGCUUGCCUCCUUGACGGGGAUGCUCGUCUCUGGAAUUUCCUCAUCAGGUGUUGGCGUCCAUUCUGCUAUAAAUUCUGCCAAUGCUCGGCUUUGAAUAGUUGAAGUGCUUUCAAACUUGAGGCCAAAGCUUGACAAUUCCAGAGCCCACUCGACAAUCCUGCAUGUUGCUUCUGGAUUCUGUAAUAUCCUCUUCAACGGAAAGCGAGUGACAAUUGUAAUCUCAUGUGCUUGAAAGUAAUGGCGCAGCUUUCUUGAGGCCAUGAGAAGGCCGAAAAGCAGCUUCUGCACGCCAGAGUACCUUGAUCUAGCCCCCUACAGAAGGGAACUGACAAAGUAAACUGGGCGCUGCACCAUUUUCUUCUGCUUCUCGUCUUGUGGUUGCACAGAUCCAUCCUUGUCGGGAUCAGAGCUUGUCGGGGAAGCCCCCUGCUUGUCGCUGGAUGUGCUUGCUGCGGCCGCUGGCUCAUCAUCUGCCUCCCUCUCCGCUACUAACGCAGCACUAACCACUUGAUUGGUUGCCGCUAGAUAUAGCAGCAACUUCUCUUGUGGUUUAGGUGCGACAAGUAUUGGAGUGGAGGACAGAUAUCUCUUCAAGUCCUGCAGCGCAGCCUCCGCUUCCGGAGUCCAUUUCAUUGGACCUGCCUUUUUCAAAAUUUCGAAAAAUGGCAGGGCGCGCUCAGCAGACUUAGAGAUGAACCUGCUGAGAGCAGCCACGCAGCCGGCAAGCUUUCGUACAUCCUUGACGCGCUUCGGUGCUUCGAUCUGCUCAAUGGCCUUGAUCUUGUCGGGGUUAGCUUCAAUCCCCCGCUGAGACACAAAGAACCCGAGAAGCUUGCCGGAAGGGACUCCAAACACACACUUCUCGGGGUUGAGCUUGAGAUUGAUCUUGCGCAAAUUUGCAAAGGUCUCGUCCAAAUCUUGAAUCAGAGUUGCUCUGUCUUUGCUCUUGACCACUAUGUCAUCCAUGUAAGCUUCUACAUUUCUGUGCAACUGUGGCUCAAAAGCUUCGUGAACUACCCUUGCAAAUGUUGAACCAGCAUUCUUUAGUCCGAAGGGCAUCCGUACAAAGCAGUACGUGCCACAUGGAGUAAUGAAUGCGGUUUUCUCCUCAUCUUCUUCUGCCAUGAAGAUCUGAUGAUACCCUGAAUAUGCAUCAAGAAAUGAAAGCAAAUCACAUCCUGCCGUGGAGUCGACAAUUUGAUCAAUGCACGGCAAGGGAAAUGGAUCCUUGGGACAAGCUUUAUUAUCAUCAGUGAAGUCUAUACAAAGCCUCCAUUUUCCGUUCGCCUUGCGCACGACUACAGGAUUGGCCAGCCAUGUUGGAUGGAGCACUCCUCUGACUAGGCCUGCUGCUUCCAACUUCUUGAUCUCUUCUGCAAUGAAUUCUUGGCGCUCCACUACUUGUUUUCUGGCUUUCUUCUUGACGGGCCGCGCGUGAGGACAGACGGCAAGGUGGUGCUCAAUUACUUUCCUGGGAACACCGGGGAUGUCGGAUGGUUGCCAUGCAAACACAUCGACGUUCGCCCGCAGGAAAGCAACGAGCGCGCUUUCCUAUUUAGGAUCAAGCGUGGCACUGAUGGUGAAGGUACCACUAGUGCCGUCCUCCUUGGCGGCCACUUUCUUAGUCUCUGGCGGAGCUGCCUUCGCCUUCUUACACUUGCCAGUGGAGCUCGAUGGUGCGUCCUCGACGGUAGCGCAGCACUCCGAAGAGGUGCGCUUGCCGGAGUGGGCAUCAGAGUUCUUGCCGGACUUGGUCUUUCCUUUCCCCCCGGGAGCUUCGGCGGCAAGUGUCUCGCGUUCUGCUGCGACUGCUGCUUCCCGGUAGAUCUUGUCGGCGCAGAUAAGGGCAUCCUUCUUGUCGCCAGGGACAGAGAUGACACUUAUCGGGCCUGGCAUCUUCAGGACAUUGUAAGCGUAGUGAGAGGCUGCCAUGAACUUGGCAAGUGCUGGACGGCCAAGGAUUCCAUUGUAAGGCAACGGAAAGUCGGCAACGUCGAACGUAACCCUCUCAGUCCUGAAAUUCAAUUCACUGCCAAAUGUUACCGGCAAUGUGAUCUUCCCCUUUGGCUUGCUCCUUCCCGGAUUGAUUCCCCGGAAAGUACCGGUCUCUUCGAGCUCGCUGUCGGGGAUUUGAAGCUUCUGGAGUACCGCGGAGGAGAUCAGAUUCAAGCCGGCCCCGCCGUCAACUAGCAUCUUUGUGACCUUGAGGUUGCGGAUAGUUGGUGAAACCAACAUCGGCAAGCACCCGACCGCAGUGAUGCGAUCAGGGUGGUCCUCAAUGUCAAAGAUGAUAGGCGUGCUAGACCACUUCAGGGGCUUGCGCGACUCAACUGAUGGUUCUGCUGCAUUAACUUCUCGCACUCACUGCUUGAGCUGGCAAUGCGAAGCAUGCAGAGAAGCACCACCGUCAACGCACAGAACCUCUGUUGCUUUCUGAAACUCCUGCUCGUCGGCCUCGUCAUCAUCCAUGUCCUCUUCUUCGUCUUCAUCUUCAUCCUUGUCGCGGCCACGGGGAGGCCUGUCUCCUUGCCGUUGCUUGGCCUUGCCGCGGCGUCCUCCCCGGUCGGGACGCUUCUUGCCGGAUCCGCCAGUACCUUCUUGGGCUUUCUCUUUGUCGCGUCGCUCGUACUCAGCCUUCUGCAGCUCCACGAGCUGCUCAACUUUCUUGCAACUUUGGAGGUCAUGGCCCUUGGUACGGUGAAUCUUGCAGUACUGCUUGUCGGAGCCGCCCUGCUUGUCGGCGGCUGCCACAGGUUCUGUUUCCUUGGCGCUACCUCCAUUGCCGGACUGCUUGACGGCUACCACAUCUUUGCCUUUCCUUCUUCUGUUGUUCCGCCGCCGGUUUUUCUUUGUCGGGGCAGCAUCCUCACUGUCAGACCCCCCUGCUCCUGUGUUUUCUCCGGGGAGUUUUCUUCCUUCCUCAGCAUGUGCACACUUGUCGGCCAGGGCAUAGAGCUCACUGACGUCUCUUAUCUUGCACAUCGCCAUCUCCUCCCGCAUCCUGCGGUUAUGCACGUUCUGAUGGAACGCGUUGAUGACCGCGGCGGGGUGGACAUCUGGGAUGUUGCGCUGCACUUGGCUGAAUCUUUGUAUGUACUUGCGCAGGGGCUCUCCUUCCUUCUGGGCGAGCAGAUGCAAAUCACUCUCCUGGCCAUGAGGCUUGUGGCCACCCGUGAAGGCGCCGACAAACUGAUGGCACAGGUCCGCCCAUGAGGAGAUGGAGUUGUCCGGCAAGUGCAUGAGCCAGGAUCUGACAUUGGGCUUGAGCACCAGUGGGAAGUAGUUGGCAAGGAUCUUCUCGUCGCGUCCCCCAGCAGCUUGCACCGCGAUGGUGUAGAUGCUGAGGAACUCCGACGGAUGCAACCUGCCAUCAUACUUCUCCGGUACAUCUGGCUUGAAGUUCUUGGUACUGGGCCACUGGACUUGCCGCAGCUCACGAGUAAACGCAGGGCAACCUACCGCGUACGGCAAGUCGCCCGAUUCCCCUGGCGCAUGCAUGUCAACAGCAGGCCCAGCGCGCUGGUUUGAUUGACGCCGCGCUUCUCUUCGACGCUCGAUGCGGGUACGAGCGUCUUCAUGUUGUCAUUCUUGAAGAACUUGGCGUUGAUCGCGACGAGCUCGUGGAUCUGAUGACGCCGUGGAGUCGGUGUCGUGGUUGAUCCGGCGAGUCGGCGAUCUUGGCCUUAGGGGCGGGGAGUGCAUGGCGGUUGCACCUCCACCAGCUUCGUCGCCACCAGCUCGCGCCCGGCGAUCUUUCCGCGGCGGCGACGCGCUCGGCUGUUGCGGAGUGUCGCCGUUGGCGUAGCCGAUGAGACUCUGAAUGGUGGCCCUCCAUUCGUCGAUUCUGUCCGACGCCGGAGGGUAAUCCAGGAGCAACUGAGCUCGCGCCAAAGCUUCUGCCGGAGUGGUGGGCGGGCAUGGCGGACGUCGCGAGGAGCAGGAUGUGCUCGGACUUCUAAUCAUGUCAGAAGGAGCCGUGUCCCGUCCAGACGACCGUACCCCGCUCGCGCCAGCACGCUGGCGUGUGUGCUGGUCUAGAGCGUCCCGAGAUCCCCCAGCUUGAACUUGGCCCAUCAUACGAAUGGCACUGCGAGUGCCAUGACGCUCUUGGUCCGGCGCCUCAUGAGAUGGCCGCGGAACGAUUGCGGACGUAGAGGCAUGCGCCGCCUUGCCCUUGGACUUGGCGACACCGUGAGCUUCCUCGUCGACGUCCAUUCUGUCUCCGGCGUCCAUUCCACCACCUGUUUGUUCCAGUGAUGGUGGAAGUGAUGCGGACGGAGCUGUUGUCUCCGAAGCCUUCUUCUUCGAUGGCAUGUCGAAGAUGAUGAUGAUGAACUGGCUCGCGUGAACGCCGGAUCGGGUUCACACAACCUCGACGCCCCCUACCUGGCGCGCCAAAGAUGUUGUGGGAAACGAACACCUAUGGGGCAAAGGGCCCCUUUCGGUCCGGCAGGGAGCGGAGGGCGCACGAAGAGCGGAUCGAGGCGGAGCACGCGAGCGAUCUUUACCCAGCUUCGGAGCUCUCCGGAGAGAUAAUACUCCUACUGCUGCUUUGUGGUUGUAUUCUGCCCUUGCUCGAGAGCAUGGGAGCCUUUUGUUUCCAAUGGGUCGAACCUCGUCUGUGGUUCUCCUGGUCCGAACCCCCUCUACGUUGCGCGUGGGCCUCCUUUUAUAUGCAAAGAAGGGGUCACCGACAGGUGGCAACACAGAGAAGGGUACAAAUGUAAAAAACGAGGUGGUUGGUACAGUUAUUUGUACAGUGCAUCCUACCUAACCCUGACGGCAGGGGACAAGGGCAUUAAAUGCCCGUCUGAGUCGCCCAAACAGUGCAGAAAAGCGACCGCUAGGGGCGGCACUGCUUGCCACGAUGGCCUUCUCGUCAUCUCCACUUGCCACCUCGCACCGCUUGGCUACGCAACCUCCCGACACGUGCGCCCGGAAUGGUCUCAGGGUGACACGCCGAAGAGGUGCGCUGGAGCAUGGGCACGGAGUGGUGGCUUCGCCGCGGCAAGCGCCUUGCCGCGGUUGUUGUCUUGUCACACCCGAAAGCUUGUUGCUCGUCGAGUCUUGCCGGGACGCGCGGCGCGUCGCGGCAAGUUCUUUGAAGUGCCCUGGUUGGCCUUCCCGGCAAGCUCCUCUUGCCGGGGCCUUGUCCUUCCCGGAAAGCUCCUCUUGCCUGAGCCUUGUCUUCUCAGUUAAAACACUUUGUUCUUGAAUGGCAUCACUAGGGACUACGGAGGAUCUUGGCGGACACCCGGCGAGCCCUGCCGUGGGACGCUGCAACUACCCGUGCACAAGUUCGGGAUACUAAGGUACCCUUACUCUAGUACACCGACAAUAAUAAACAUUUAUCAUGAAAUAAGGAAAUAAAUAAUAGCUUUAUUAUUGCCGCUAGGGCAUAUUUCCUUCAGUAUUUGCUUUUAUCUAUGUAGGUACUGUUAACAAGGUUAUGCGUGGUUCUCCUACUGGAUUGGUAACCUUGGUUCUUGACUGAGGGAAAUACUUGUAUCUACUGUACUGCUUCAUCCUCUCCUCUUCGAGGAAAUCCCAAUGCAGCUCACAAGUAGCACUAUACGCCAAAAUAAUCCGAGAUAGUAUUCAUACACAUAUUUCAAGUUUAGAACUUGAUGGACCCUCUGAAAGACUUCAAGUCUAAAGUGUAGUUAUGGAUCUAUAGAUUGACAAAGAUAAAAAUGUUUUAUGAUGCUUGACUUGUUGCAAAUAGUUUAUGACAAGAUCAAGGAAUUGAUUAUGACAAGAUUGUCUCAUCAUAAUAAUACUUAAAGUCAAUUCUGAUUAAACUAGCGAUUACUGAAUAUUUCAGUUAUGAGAUAUGAUAGAUGGAUGUCAAAAUGAUUCCCAUGAGAUGGAAUAGGACCAAGGUUGUAUAUUUGAUACGGACAUACGGUCCAAGAUAAUUUUGUCGAUCCAGAGGAUGCUAGUAAGUGUGUAAACUUCAAGAGAUUAUGUAAUGAUCUGAAGCAAGCAUAGUGGAAUUGGAAUCUUUGUUUUGAUGAAUUGAUCAAAUAAUAUGAUUUCAUCGAUAGAAACAAAGAUGCUUGUAUUUACAAUAAAGUAAGUAGGAGCAUGAUAAUAUUUCUAAACAUUGUGUGUGCAUAACACAUUGUUGAUUGGAAAUUAUAUAAAUUUCCUGACACGGAUUAAUACUUUAUUGAAACUAGUUUUCAGUAAAGUACUUAGGCAAUAUAGUCCUUGUAUUAUGCAUUGUAAUCUAUGGAGAUAGUAGUGUCUAAUCAGGGCUUAGCCAAAAUACAUACUGACAAAGUACUAAAGCAGUUUAGUAGGAAAAACGCCAAGAAGAGUUUCUUGUAAAAGUCACAUGGAAGGAGUUCUUAGCAAGAAUCGGUAUCUUGAAAUAUUGAUGAGUGAAAUAUAUGAUUUCAAUCACACUUGUGUUAAUUCCAUGGCAUGUAGAUAACCAGAUAUGUCUAGUACUCCAAGUAAGUUGUGAGUAAAGUUACCAAAAUGGUCAAAUUGUUGAUCAUAAGACAAAAGUGAAAAUGUCGUGUCGCAUACGUAGAAAUUGAAGAGAUUUUUCUGAGGAGUAACAUCAAUACAUGCUUGGUGUAAGUAGUACAUCGAAAAAAUUCAAUCGGUGCUCCAAGAGAAUUUCGAUUUCAAUUAAAUGAUUUAUGGUCGCACUGUAAGUUAGAAUUGGUCCAAAAAGGGUUAUGGUGGUGAAUUCUAUAACAGAACUGAGUAUAUUGUCGCUUUACAAGCAAAAAUAGAGGAUGAUGAAUCAAUGGUUCAUUUAUGAACUUGAUGGUUCUAUAGCUCAAUCUAAGGAAUCAAAGGUCCUGUCGGUGAUUCAAUAUAUACUAAGCUUGUUUCACAUAAAUUAUGAAUUCAUGUGGAAGCAUGAUAGAUGCAUAGAUAUGCAAAUUAUACUCACGGAUCUGAAGUUGUCAAGAUCUGAUAGGAUGAAGGUUCUACCAAGAAAAGCAUAAACAAACACCACAUUGCCAUUGGUGUAAAAUAAAAUAUGCUAACUAGAUUACUGACUCUAGUGCAAGUGGGAGACUAUUGGCAAUAUGUCCUAAAAGCAAUAGUAUUUUUAUUAUUAUAUUUCUGUGUUCAUGAUUAAAGAGUUUGUAUUCUAUACUGUCAUGGAAUUAACACGGCAGAUGUCCUUAGUGUCAGGACUUAGUCGCGAGGCGGAGCGCAUCUAUGCGGUAGCUUGGGAGGGGUUGAUGGGGACGAGAGACGCAACACACAAGGCAAGAAUUUAGACAGCUUCGGGCCCCGGGAAACAUCAUCCGGAAUAGCCCAACAUGAUGUUUGAGGCUAGGUCUCAUUAUGCUCAUAAGGGAGUCGCCGUAAGCCGGCUCUCCUCUUUCUGUCUAGCCCUAGAUAUUGUUUCUUGUUGCUUGUCCCUCUUUGGGGAGCCCUGCCCCUCCUUAUAUAAGUUAGAGGGGCGGGUUUACAUCUGGAGUCCAAAUAGGAUUGGACGAGCCUAUCUUCUACUACAAGCCGGAUACAAGUCCGGGUCUUGAUUCCUUGUAAGGGAGAUAUUCCUCACGCCUUUCCUCUUAAGCCGGCCUACCUUAACGUAAGCCGGCCUUCUGGGCCUUGAGCCUCCUGGGCCCCCGGGUCUUGUCGCUCCUCUGAUCCGCUUGCCAGGUCACCCAUAAGUCACCUGAAUCGGGCGGGUCACUUAGUGAGUCGCCAAGUCCGGCCGGGUUAUACUUCCGGCCGGGUUACACCGCGGGGUAUAUCCCCGACAUUAGCCCCCAAGUUUAGCUUGGACGUAUCCAUGGUAAACUUAUGCUGCAAAAUAAACACAAGAACAAAUUUGACAGGUUGUGCUCCGGGUUAAGAAUUCUUGUAAACCGGCACCUGAACAUCCUUAAGUCCUUGUCACUUCCUUUUUCUAGAAAAUCCGGGUCAAUAGACCAGCUUCACAAUCAAUUUUCUUGUAAAAGAAAUAUUGUAAACAAAUAAUCCAUUUGAGUCGGCUUCCACGGCGCCGGGUUAAAUAAUUUUGGUCUGCAAAUACUCAUCUGAUAUUCAGCCGGCUUGAAGAUGUAAAACUUGCCGGUUUAUCAUUACCAAAAACUGCCAGAUUAUAAAACAGACUAUGACGGGUCAUAAUUGUUGUUGACACCGGUUUAUGUAAUUGAUCCUCCUGAUUUGCUCAAAACUGAUAAUUUGAAAAUUUUCUCCCUUAUAUUCAUAUUACCUGUAGCCCCCAAGUCUUGAGCAGAACAAAGUGAUGGUUUAAGACUUGCUCCAAUAAAUGUUGCAACCUUGAAGAAAUGUGGUUUAUUCAUCUCAAUCAUAUAAGCUGAAUAUUCCACACAUGUAGCCCCCAAGUGUCGGGCUGUCAUGCUUGCAGCAACCUGGGACUUGUAAUUGCUUUAUGCUCAUGAAAACUUCAACCAAUGUAGCCCCCAAGGGCCGGGUCAUUAUGCAAAUAAUGAACAGGGACUUUGUAGAUAUAACCAUAUAAAUUUGAACAGCAAUGUGUAGCCCCCAAGGGCCGGCUUAGUAAGAUAAUACUGAUCUGGGACUUUGUAUAUAAUUGAUAAUAACAUCAUAUAAUAUAGUCUCCACCGUGGGGCUUGAACCCACGUCCACAAGGUUAAGAGCCUUGUACUUCACCAACUAAAUAGUGGACCGUUCAAUAUAAUGGAUUAAUGCUUGUGUACCUUGAAUUUUUGACAGGAGCAAUUGGUAGCCCCCAAUGGCCGGCUCAUUACAAUGGGAUGAGUCGGGUCUUCAAUAAGUUGAUCAAAAAAUGACUUUACAUUAGCCCCCAAGUGCCAUGGUGUAUGCUGGCAGUGACAUGGGACUUGCCUAUUUGAUAUAAUCCCAAUCUGAAUAAUAUAGCCCCCAAGUGCUGGGUCGUAAGCCUGCAGCGACUCGGGACUAUUCCUUCCAUUGUAGAAUAAAUCAUAUCCAUUGAUAAAAAUAAUAGCGGUUGUGCUAAAGCGACUUUGAAAACCUCAAUCAUAGCACUGGUUAUUGAUAAUCACAAUAAAAAUCCAGCCAUGUUGGCUAUUCGAGAUUUAAAUAAUAUAAUCCGGUAUGAAAACCUCAAUCAUUCAAUAUCAUCAUGAAAAUCCAGUCAGUUUUGGCUAUUAAAGAUUUGAAUACCUCAUCGGUUGACAAGUAAAUCCGGAGUUUAAAUACUCGGUGGCUCUUGGCCGAUGGCGAUUUAAUACGCCUCCAUUGUAAGCCGGAAUUUUUAUAACCCGGCGGCUUAUAGCCUUUGAGAAAAAUCCAGAACGGAUCAUCAUUUUGAAGCAUCAACUUUGGUAAUGAGCUUGAACUUAAUCAUUUACAUGUCAUAUUUCUGCAAAUCCUGCAAAGAGUUUAAACAGCAUAUGCCCUGGCGACUUAUCGUCAAAAACCAGGGCGGGUAAUCACCCAAAUGUAGUCUUAUCCUGUACACAAGUAGAUCACAAGAUCCCUAUGAUCCUUUGAAUGAUACCGCCGGUUUAUGUGACCCGGACAGUGAAGUUAAUAACUCAACUCUGUAAGAGCCGGCACAUAUGAUAUUUGUGACAACUCAAAUACUUGCGAUUGUAUAAAGCUGUAGAAGAAACAGACAAAAUUUUGAGGCUUCUGAUUCGAAUACGAUCAGUAAACCGUUCCAAAGGGGUUAAGCUAAGAUUCGAAUACGAUCAUAUAGCCCCCGGUGGCUUUGGCGAUGUCGAUCAAGUGGGUAUCGACAGCUAUGUUCUCUUUGGUUCGAAUACGACCUAUGUUUGAACAGGAAGCCCCCAAGUGACCAUAAGAGUUGUUUAAUGACGUUGGUUCGAAUAUGACCCACGUCAGACCCAAAGGGGUUAAGCUAUGAUUCAGAUAUGAUCAAGAAGCCCCCUAGUGGAUUUGGAAGUAUGCCGAUCAAGAGGGUAUCGACAGCUAUGUUCUCUUUGGUUCGAAUACGACCUAUGUUUGAACAGGAAGCCCCCAAGUGAUCAUAUAAGUUUUGGCAUUGCGCCAAUCAAGAGGGUACUGAUAGCUAUGCUCGAUGAGCAAGAAGCCCCCAAGUGAUCAUAAUAAGAUAAGCCAUAAGGUAGGAUACCCAAGUUUGAACCGCGCAUCAUGGCAGCAAGUUCUUUUGGCAACCUUUAAUAAUUUCUGAGAACUCGAACUUGCGAGAGAUUAAUGCUUUUUGAACCGGAACUUUAAACCGGAUUUGAAAGCUUUAAAAAUUUGUGAAGGACAAAUUUACCUUGAACCGGAUUCGAGAGCUUCAAAAAUUUGUGAGGAACAAAUUUACUCUGGGUCGGCUUUUGAACCGGAUUUAAGAGCUUCAGUGCUUUGUGGGAGAAAGAUGUCUCUUGAACCGGAUUUUAAACCAGAGUCCUUAUUUUGAGCCAGAAAUCUUCUGACAGCUUUUAAAUUUUCAUCGAUCUAGCAGUAAUCUCCGGGGCCCAGGUUAUUUUCCCUUUAAUGACCUGGAGUUCUUGAAUUAAUUGAAACCGACUAAUUUUGCCGAGUCAUAUCAUUGUAGCCCCGAGUCUUAAGACGACUUGAGGAGUUGGCUUGAGAUUCUCCAUAAUUAACCGUGAUAUAGACCAGUUUGAAUCCUGCAUGGGACAACUUGCAAACCAAAGUAAUUGCUCUUUUGAAGAAAAUAAUAUGUAAUAUAAAAUAUAUUGGAUGGAUUUUACCUGAUAUGUUAGGCUAGUGAUUAUCCACAGAAGGUUGAGGUGAUUGCGGCGGGUUAUAAAUGAUCCCGUAUGAACCGUGUCAGCAACUCGGCCAAUGGUUCCUUCCAACUGGCUGUUUGAAGUUAACCAAAUCAUAGUGCCGGCGACUUGUGCACCUAUCCAUUGAGCCAUCCAGUGCAGACGGUGGUUGAUAAUAUAUGAUAAUUCGCCUCCAAUUUGUUGGAAGAGAAAACCGGGCUUCCCAAGUAGUGACUUGCUCAUACUUAAUAAACAGCUCAUCCAGACAAGUGCGGCUCGGUGUGUCGAUAUAGACCAGGCCGCGAGAGACGGACGGUAAAGACGAUCGUAACAUCAGAGGCGGCAUAGACAGAUGAACCGGUCGUGGCGUUGUAAGCCAGUGCACACGGGCAAGUUGUCCUCCUUGUUGUAAGCCGGCAUGGUCGCGAGAAACGGUCACGACGUUGUAAGCCGGUGCGGGAGUCUGUUGAGUAACGACGACCACCUGUGCCAAAAGAUGUUGGCGUGCCUCCAUCUCCGCGGUAUAAUAUCACUUUUUGUCAUAAAUAAUUUCCCUGCAUCAACAACAUUGCAGACCAAAACAGAGAUAAACUGCUCUUUGACAAAAAAUAAUAUGUACCAAUAAAAUAUAUUUUAGAUGGAUAUCACCUGAUGUGCCAGGCCGGAAAUAAUCCGCCAUGAAUUGAUGAUCGUUAGGUGAAGUUGAAGUCGCUCACGGGUGAACCGGCCACAUCGUGGUAAACCGAUGCGGACGGGUGAGUCGGCCACGACGUUUGUAAGCUGGUGCAGACAGCGAGUCGGCCACAACGCAUGUAAGCUAGCGCGGACACGUGAACCGCCACGAGGGCAGAUGAGCGAGUCGUCCGUGGCGUUGUAAGUGGGCGCGGACGGUAAGCCGGCCACAACAUUGUAAGCCGGUGCGGGAGUCUAUUGAGUAAGGACAACCACAUGUGCCGAAUAAUGUUGGCACGCCUUCAUCUCCGUGGUAUAAUGCCACCUUGUAAUGGAUAAUUCUCCUACGCACAAAAAAUAUUGCAGGAUAGAGUAAUUGUUCUUAAACAAUUUAAUACGUGUUGAUAAAAUAUAUAGAACAGAUAGCAGCUGGUGAUUUGUUCGGACAACCUUUGAUCCGUAUAUAGAGUGUGUAGAUGACUUCUGAGAAUCUUUGACCAUUAUAAUCCAACAAGAGGCCCUUCUGAACCAUCCAUUAAAAAACGCACGGACGGCUGUUUGACUGGUAUUUUUUUUUGCCGUGAGAGGAGUUCCCUUCCUCAAAAAGAGACAUAUUGUUGUGUGCUGCUGUGGUUUUCAACUGCUUGACAGUAGCAGGCCAUUAAAGUCAUGUAGUAGUAGUAGAAAAUCAGCACGCACAGCCUUUGCCUUCUCGUCAAGCUGUUGUCCCUCCUAUAAACAAAAACGGGCCAUAAUCUCAAAGGCAAAGCAGGGCCGGUGAGUGAGGAGGUGAGGCUGUAGCGGUAAUUUUAAAGGGACUGCGACCACGCAACAGAUGCAACAGCGAGGCUCGUCGGCUAAUGGCACAGCCGUGACCGCAACAGCGGCGACCUGGCGAUGCAGCGCGACAGCGGCGAGGGUCGUAGUCACAGCUCAAAGGCGGCUUGCGGCGCGGCCGGCUCAAGGCGACCCAGGGCAGCUUCAGCGCCUAGCAGCAGCGGAGACUUGGUGUUUAAAACGGGGCGAUCCGGCGACUUGGCCAGGCAAUAACAGCAACUAUUCUGGGCGGCUCUUGGCGGAGACAUCGCUCGAACGGCGACUCAGAAACAGCAAGGCAGGUUCAAUCCGGCGGCACAGACCAGCGAAUGCGGCCACUUGGACGGGGCAGUGGUGAUGGUGGUUUAGAGGCAAGGCCACGGAGAAGCGGAGGCAGCAUGACGAGACCCGGGCGACUCGAUGGCGUAAGUGACAGCAGCGGGUCAAGGCCGCAGCGGCGUGGCAGCUCAAGGCGGGUCGGGACGCAGCUGCGGGGGCGACGCCGGUGCAGGCAGCAGAGGCGGGCAGCCGGCUCACAGCCAGGGGAAGCCCGAGGCCUGCUCCAGCAGGUGCCGCGACGACUCUUAGUCACUGGGGGAGGCUGAAACGAGGUUACGGCGGCUCGGCGCCGCUUGCCGCUGCGGAGGCCCGUGACGAAGCAGAGCAAGGUGGCUCGCAGCUGACUCUGGACAUCUCUCAGUCACCGGGGCGAAGGCGAAAUCCGGCGGGCUGAAGAAGUGGAUCCGCGAGGCGGAACGAGGUAAAUCUGAAUCACGGCUCGCUCCGUUUCCGGGUCGUGGGCAUCUCCCCCCUUUUUUAUGGUAAUUUUCCCCUAAUGGACUUGAGUGCCCUGUUGAUUCCGUGAGAUGACUUGUCUUCAUCUUGGUCUCCGUCCAGCACAUGACAAGCACUAGUUGUAUUAGUACUUUGAUUUAAGAAGCGAUUUAGAUCCUCACGUGAGGACGUGGUAGCUGGGAGCGACUCGCAAUUUUACCACUUGCCAGGCGCACAGUACGCUUCAAAAAUUCCUCUUGUCCUUUUGUCGGUCUUGGUAAUCUGAUUCUUGCGCUGAUCGAUCUCAGACACGUCCUCGACUUGCAACAGAGGCGAUGCACCCGAUGCAAACUAAUUUUCCCUUGACCAGGCGGCAGCUCGUGACGCAACACAAGAGGGGUCAGCGGGUCGCUCAGUGGUAGCUUGAAUAAUUGCCUCCAGAUUCGAGGAAUCACCGGUCACGUUCAUCCAUGCAUAACCCUAAUUUCUCUUGACCUCAAAUCUUAAAAAAUACAAAUCCAAACCGAUGAAUUUGAAGCUGACGUAGAUCCUUUCAAAUCAGAUCCUCUUCAUUGAAAAAUUAUGAACUUCUCGAUCCCUGUGAGAGAUCCCUCCAAGAACUCAACACCACCAUGCGCAAGCCCCACGGUGGGUGCCAACUGUCAUGGAAUUAACACGGCAGAUGUCCUCAGCGUCAGGACUUAGUCGCGAGGCGGAACGCAUCUAUGCGGUAGCUUGAGAGGGGUUGAUCGGGACGAGAGACGCAACAUGCAAGGCAAGAAUUUAGAUAGCUUCGGGCCCCGGGAAACAUCAUCCGGAAUAGCCCUACAUGUUGUUUGAGGCUAGGUCUCAUUAUGCUCAUAAGGGAGUCGCCGUAAGCCGGCUCUCCUCUUUCUGUCUAGCCCUAGAUAUUGUUUCUUGUUGCUUGUCCCUCUUUGGGGAGCCCUGCCCCUCCUUAUAUAAGUUAGAGGGGCGGGUUUACAUGUGGAGUCCAAAUAGGAUUGGACGAGCCUAUCUUCUACUACAAGCCGGAUACAAGUCCGGGUCUUGAUUCCUUGUAAGGGAGAUAUUCCUCACGCCUUUCCUCUUAAGCCGGCCUACCAUAACGUAAGCCGGCAUUCUGGGCCUUGAGCCUCCUGGGCCCCCGGGUCUUGUCGCUCCUCUGAUCCGCUUGCCAGGUCACCCAUAAGUCACCUGAAUCGGGCGGGUCACUUAGUGAGUCGCCAAGUCCGGCCGGGUUAUACUUCCGGUCGGGUUACACCGCGGGGCAUAUCCCCAACAUAUACUAUAACUGCUAUGAUCCUGGAAUAUGGGAUUCAGUGGAAAACUCAUAUGCACGUGUGGAAUGAUAAAAGGUUAAAAAAAGUUUCCUAGUCUUGCCUCUAGGACUAUCUCAAGUGUUAUUGGUGAUCAUGUUUUUCGGAUCUUAGGAUAUCGUUAAGUGUAAUGGUAGUCCUAAAACAACAUUGUGAUUAUGACAUUGGAAGAACAGUCAUAUUGAAUGGACCCAAACUUGUAUGUUAUGAAUUGAGUUAAUAUCGUAUGUAAUAAAUUGUAGAGAGUAUCGUAGUCACUUCUUACCGUACGGUCGGCUUUGGAGUUUCUCAAAUAUCACCAGUAACGCGGUGCUCAUAAUGACAACUUACAGGUUCAUUGGAAAGUUUGACAAGGGACUAGAUAGCUCGAGAGUGGGAUUUGCUCCCCCGACGAUGGAGAGAUAUUCUUAGGGCAUUCUCGGUGUGACAGCAUCCAUCAUCGUCUGGCCAGACAUAGGUGACUUCUUCACGGGGAUGCCGGAACACAAUAAUGAGAAAGAAGAACAAAAUGAGUAAGGAGGAUAACGGUAUAGUGAGAAUGUGAUGACCUGGGAGGAUACCAGCGCAUCCUGGGUUUUGUGAAGUAUCACGAAGCGAAGGAAACAUCACAUGAUAGCCAAAGUUUCACUCAAAUAUCAUUCAUGUUCUCGUAGGGAUUGAUAUGGACGUCCACGGUUCCGCUGUCGGACAUUGAACGAAGGGGUUUCGUUCAUGUAUGUGAGUUACUGAACCUACAGGGUUCACAAGCUUAAGGCAAUCAUGAUUUGAUGAGUGUUAGUAGGACGGGAGUGAUGAUAACAUAUUUGUGUAAUUGUUUCAUUAAUAUUCGGAAUAGUUCCGAGAGGAUCCAGAAGCAUUUCGGGGUCACCGGAAGGGUUUCAGAGAGUAUCGGGUAAUACCAGGUAUUACCGAAAAUAAUAUAUAGGUGGAAAAUGUUUCCGGGGAUAUUAAAUUAUAUAUAAAAGGGUCUGGUAUUUAUUAGAAGUCUUCUAUAUUUAAUUUAAUACAAACCGGCCUUAAAAAGCCAAACCGGAGAAGAAAACUUGGGCCAACUUGGCCCAAGUGGAGGACCCCCCCCCCCCCUUAUGGAUGGAGGAGGCCGAAUUGGAAUAGGGAGGAGUUGGACUCCUCCCCUAUGGACGGCGCCCCAAGGACGCUCCUUCCCUCCUUGGUGGCUGCCCUCUCCAUCUCCUCUAACCUAUAUAUACUAGGGGUUUUGCUCUAUUGAGACACAAGUUUGGAGCCUCCUCUAGUCCCUCUAGUUCUAGUUCUAGUCGAUCCUACUUGAUCUUAGAGCUAGACAAAUCCUCUAAUCCUCAUAAUUAUAAGUCGAUUGUUGUUCUAAUCUCCUCCCUCUAAUUCUUCAGUGAUGAUUAGUUCUGGACGGUGAAGUGCUGCCGGAUCAUGAAGGCUGCACGCUUGCAACCAACUAGAGAGGCCGUGAUUUCAGUCUUUUGUUCGAGGGACUAUUCGUGGGUGGUUCGCGGGAUCGUUCAUAGACGGUUCGAGGGACUCCAAGUACGACCUACAUCGACACGUUCUUCUUCCGCUGCAACUCGGUGACGAUAGCGAUCAUGAUCUCAACCCGUUAUGCAUCUUCAUAUUUAUCUUGGGUGUGCAUAUGUGCGAUUUUUUCUAUUUUCUACUAAGUUUCCCAAUAGUACCUGCCACAUCCUCCUUAGGGGUGUCGUCUUGGAUUCCUCAUCUUUGUUAAACCUUGGUGGCUAUUGUUUUCCUAUGAUUUCAUCAUCGGCUAGGCAGGUGCACGGCCUCGGGGUCGACAAGGAAGUCGGAGUGAUGGCUCCAAGGAGAACCUUAGUGUUGUAGAGUGUCAAAUCUGGUCGCGUGGGUGGCAGAGUCGUUAGCUCGUGUGAACACGAUCUUGGGGUCGGUGGGGAAGUUGGAGUGGCGGCUUUGAAGAGUAGUUAUGUGUUGUGAGCGUCUGAUUUGGUCGCAUGGGCAGGAGAGUUGUCAACUUGUGUGGAGCGUGGCCUCAGGGCCGGUGUGUGUGUGUUUGUCGAGGUCUAUAAGUCGUAGUGGCGGCUCCGGGUCGGGUGUUUGGGUGUCUACUCUGGUUUCUUGGGCGAUAGAGUCGUCGACUCAUUUGGUCACCAGUUUCGGGGCUGGUGUGUGUUCGUUGUAUAGGUUUUCGGACAGUUUUCCUUAUAAACUAACCAAUUCUCUUCAUCUUAAUGAAAAGGCGGAGCUCUUGUUAGUUGCUCAAAAGGAAAUGAAGGAGAAGAAAAAACAACAACCAUAUUGUUAUCUCUCGAACAUUAUAAGACUAAAUCGACAUUGAAGUUUGUUCGAUUGCACCAUGUAACAAAAAUCUGAGAGGCCCAAGUCAAGGGGAAAACUCUUUCAGAAUAUAUGUAACAUCCCAAUUUUCAAUUUGGAUGUUAUACAUAGAUCAUCAUAUGCAUAUCACAUUUUAUUUGCAUUUGGUUGAGAUCCUCGGAAUCUUCAGCAACUCAAGGACCCAAGGAGAGAGUUGGAGAUUUCAUAAAAUUUUCAUAUUUGAAUUUAUUUCAAAUUUGAAAAGAGGAUCAAUUUGAUUUUAAUAAUUUCUCUCCAAUUAUUUUUCAACAAUAAAAAUAAAUGAGAGAAGAUAAUAUGACUUCUUCAAAACAGAGGAGAAAUAUUGGAGAAGAAAUGUUGAAAUCAAAUAACUAUUUUAUUUGUAUUUUAGUUGCAGUUUUAUUUGAAUUAGAGAAAAACAUGCAUUUUUAAAAAAAUUGCAUUUAGUCCAGAAAAAUGUUCAUCUUGUCCCAAAUAUUAGUUUUGGACGGUGAAAAUUGUUUCUAGAAUUUUUAGAAUUUUAUUAAUAAUUUAUUAGGAUUUUCUUCGCGGAAAUUGUUUUAAAAAAAAUCUUCCUGGGCCGGCCCAGCCGAGCCGGGCCACCUACCCAGCGCCGCGCCGCCGCCUUCCUCCCGCUCGAGAGUCUCGGCCGCCGCUGCGGUGGAGUCCAGCUCGGACUCCACCAUCGCCCGACGCCGCCCCCUCCCCAAGAGAGCCCCCCGGCCCUUUAUAAGGAGCCGACCCCGGCCCCCUUCCACCUCGUCAGCCACCACCGCCUGCGCCACCGCUGCCGCUUUUGCUCGUCGUCGCCUGCCGCUAGCUGCUGCCACCCCGCGUCGCCGCCGUCGCCCCGAGUCGUCGCCGCCGCCCGCCGCCGCCGCCGCCCGCCCAGUCGGAUUCUUCCGCCACCCGAUGCCAAACCCGCCGGAUCUCGUCGACGCCAGUUGACCGGUAUAAGCCGCCGGUCUUUUCUCGGUUUAGUUCGAUUUCUUUAGUUUUGGUUUAUUAGGUUUAGAUUGUUUUUUUUUAUUUUAGUUCGUUAGUUAGCGAACGUUCACCCGUUAGUUUCUUAUAGUGAACGAAUUCGUUCGUUACGAUCAGUUAGCCAACGUUCGUUCUGUAGAUUUUUCCUUUUAGUUUUAUUUUUCGGUUAGGGACCUAUCCGCGAAUAGUUUCUCGUGAUCUAGCCCCUGAUCUUAAAACUAGCGUAACUUUUAGCUUGUUUAUCCAAAUUAGAUGAAACCAACGCCUAAAUCUUCGUAAAUAUCUCUUCUUUAUAGUAAACCAACUUGAACAUGAUUUUUAAAAAUUAAAAUUUGAGUUUAGUUCAGAUUAGUUUUCGAUCUUGUUUUGUUUGUAUCUUGAGUUUCGUAGCUCCAUUUGAGUUGUUUGUUUUUGCAAAUCGUAGCUAAUCACAUGUACCUGCUGUUAAGAUCUAAUCCACAUGAAAAUAAUGCUGUUAGGUUUUGUUUUCUAUUUAGUUUAGUCGUUUGCUCGUUUCGAGUUUGAUUUGGAUCUUUUCUCGAUUUAUCUUUGUUUCGUUUGAGUGAUUGCUUAUGUAUGCUACUGUUUGUCUAUGCUAAAUUAUCCUGAGUGCGAAGCUUGUUACUACGAAUCCCUAGAGUUUGCAGCUUGUUAGCAAGUCAAGUUACACUUCGAUCAUACUCUUCUAUACCCAGUUUUUACUAUGCAUUAGUUGUGCCCCUCAAAUAUUUGCAUGAGUAGGAUUGAGACAUGUGGUUUGGUUGUAGUAUUAUGAGGUAGGAACCUAAUACCUUUUGAUCAUCCCGGGAAUAUACAUUAUGCUCUAUUAUUGCUUAGCCAUGCUCGUAGAUGGGGAUUGGAUCGCGAUAUACGUGGAAGUUAUGAGAGUUAUUAAUCUUGGAUAACAUUAAGGUGACAAAUUUAAUACACAUCUGGGUGGAUUGGUUGGGGCACCUGGAGAAUCCAGUGUUUGUCCAUUUGGGAAAUCCCGGAGUACCCGUGUGAUUUUUCCUUGGUUCGCCACCCAAGCUCAAAGGGAUCAUAUGAUAUUUCAUGCCUAGAAACUUCCGUGUGCAGCCACAAGCCAUUAUGGGCUCUGGCAUAGUUGAGUAAGUUGUGUGAGUUCUCGAAGAGGUGGACUAGUAGAUGUAGGGGAAAGUAGGUGUACCGGUCUACUCGGAGUAGAGAGUUAAUGCUUCAGAAAGACUAUGUCUCGAUCUUCCGAUCAUGGAUGCGGUCGAGUCUUGUGGGGAAAAGUGUGCAAACCUCUGCAGAGUGUAUAAACUAAUCAUGGUUAGCCAUGUCCCUGGUUAUGGACAUCUUGGGUAUCUGGAAUUGGAUAUUAUUGUUGAUCUCAUCACUACUUAAUUAAUUGAAUUGGUUUUAAUGAUGAUACUUGUUUAAUUAGGAUUUGAGUUGGAGGAACCUUCUCAAAUAUUGGUACAACUUGGGAGUAGUAAAUAAAAUUUAUUCCUUUGUUGUAGGAAAAAAUUAGCUUUAUGCAAAAUCUUAAACUUAGAGCCUCCACCAGCCAAAUAUUGCAUGUACAUAUAGUUCUUGCAUUCAUUUCUUUACAGUGUAACUCUGCCAGCAUAUUCAAUGUGCUGACCUACACGACUGCAACGUCUCAUGUUGCAGACUACUCAGACGACGUAUAAGGUGCGAUAGGUCGUUGUCGUGCACUCAGCUAUGCUGUCGGAGUUGAUGGACUCAUUUACCUUCGAAGCUUCCGCGGUUAUUUAGUUUAGAUGGCCUUCAGCCAUAUUAUUUUUAUGUAAUCAUACUCUUUAUGAGGACUCGAUGUAAUAAGUGUGUGAUUGAACUCUGUUAUAAUUCCUCAAGUACUGGGUGUGUCAGCAUUACCGAUCCAGGGUUGACACUUAAGCACAGGGACUUCGGUCCAUUGAAAUCGUGGUCGCUACAAUAUAGUGAAACCCAAUCCUCAUAAAAAUACCAACAAGAUCCAAUUAUACCAAAAUAAGAUUACUUAUUGUACUACAAGGAUCAGAUUAGCAAGCGUGUGACGUCAAGUUGUUGCAUUCUAAUAAUUUUGUGGCAAAAAUAAACCAUUUUACCGGUUGUCCCCGUAGGGACACAACUAAUCCAUUUGAUUUGUGUAGUUGUACACAUGUUUUAGGGACUGUCUAUCCCUCACAUGCCUAAAACUUCUUCUGUAUCAGUCACUUUUACUCCGAUCCAUCGGAUCACUGAUGAACGUCCAGAUCUCCUUCUUCCUUCUUUAACCGUCGAUGGUCAUCUUCUUUCCCGAUCCUGCAGCCCCCUCUGACCCAGCCCUAACCGUCUGCCACCGCCUCCCGCGGCCGGCGGCUAUCGCAGCCUUGCCAUCUCACCUUUCCCCCCCCCCCCCUGUCGGUGUCAAAACCGACGGAUCUCGGGUAGGGGGUCUCGAACUGUGCGUCUAAGGCUAAUGGUAACAGGAGACUGGGGACACGAUGUUUACCCAGAUUCGGGCCCUCUCGAUGGAGGUAAUACCCUACUUCCUGCUUGAUUGAUCUUGAUGAUAUGAGUAUUACAAGAGUUGAUCUACCACGAGAUCAGAGAGGCUAAACCCUAGAAGCUAGCCUAUGGUAUGAUUGUUGUUGUUGUGUCCUACGGACUAAACCCUCCGGUUUAUAUAGACACCGGAGGGGGCUAGGGUUACACAGAGUCGGUUACAGAGAAGGAGAUCUACAUCCGAAUCGCCAAGCUUGCCUUCCACGCCAAGGAAAGUCUCAUCCGGACACGGGGCGAAGUCUUCAAUUUUGUAUCUUCAUAGUCCAACAGUCCGGCCAAAGUAUAUAGUCCGGCUGUCCGGAUACCCCCUUAUCCAGGACUCCCUCACCCCCACCGCCCCCUCCAUCCCUCUAAGUCCCGCCUCAUCGUUGAAGAAUUCCGGCAAUCCCCUGCACCUCACCCCUAAGAUAGAUAGUGGGGCCGCCUCUUCUCCGGCGAGAUUUGAUCUUAUCCGGCGAGCUUGGGAUGAACGAGGAAAAGUGACUGACACGAAGGAAAUUUUCAGGCACCUGAAAUAUAGCAAAACCACAUGUUUUAUGAUCAUUUGUUUGAAAUGCAAACGAAAUCAUGAAUUUCUAUGUAAUUCUAGUGGUCUCAUGUCAAGAUCUUUUAACCCGCCGGUGACCCCCAAAAUGGCAACCUAAAAAAACAGAAAUGCUGGUUUUAAAUAUUCUAAAACAUAAAAAAUCUAAAACUAUUCUGCCAAUCUGGUCAAACAGAAACGUGCUCUUAUUCUUGGGCUCUAUCUGCGUGCCAGUUGUUGCUAGCAUGCUCGGAAAAUCGCCGUGGUUCAGGCCAAGUGGCCACAGUGGCAAAGAGCGGAGGUGUAGCCUAGGCAAGCGAGGCCAAAAGCCGAGAGGAGGAUCCGAGAGCAAAUACCACAUAUUCAGGGGAGCAAAGCUGCUAGACACCUGCAACCAUCCAUGAUCCAUCUACUCUACUCUGCUCCCCUCCUCUCCUUAUCUGCUACAGCAACUAUAUAUUUCCCCCGAGGCAAUUUCGGCGUGCUUUACUUACCAGCGGCCUGUUUUUCCCUCCCCCUGACACAAAAAGGCAAAAUCUAUUUUUGUUAAUUAGGAAAAAGAAAGAGCGCGUGUGAACUGGCGAGGGUGGGAAAAAAGGGGGAUAUAUUGGAGGCUGUAGGCAGGAAACUAUGGGAGCUGGGUAGGAGUAGCUCAAAAAUCUGUGAAUUCGUUUCUUCUGUCCCUCUCUUGUGAUCUUCUCCGUCUGUAGCGCUGGAGUGAGCUCGUGAUGUCUCCAUUUUAGGACGGAGGAGUGUGCAAGUGUGCUUCUUCUUCUUAGUAUUAUUAUCAUUUCUUUUCUGUUUGCACCCCAGAUAUUUCCUUUUGCUGCAACUGUUGAGCUCCAAAUCUGCCGUGGUUCAUUUCGUCUUUGAUUCCGGAGGGAGAAGGGGAUCUGCCAUUUCUGUGCUCGGUUCACCAAUUUCUUGCUCAAACUACUCCUCUUGAGAUUUUACCGUUCCCCUUUUCAGUUUCUUGGAGGUAAUUUCUUGUGCUGUAAAACUCUGGUUUGCCGCUAGAAAGAUCUCGUGUUUGACCGGAGACGGGUUUAUGGGUUUUCGCAGCUUCCUAAUCCCUAGUCCUAACUUCGCUUGAGCGCUCGUGAGCUCUUAGUUAGCGGUGUGAAAAUCGCGGCGUCGAGUGUUCUCGUGCAAGAAUCGGUUGCUGCUGCUGCUAGCCAUGGAGGUGAGGUCCGAGCAAGGCUAAUGGCGGGAAGGGAUCUGUUCGGCUUGCCCAAGAGCCAGCCGGCGCCGGCGCCAGCAGCUCCGGCAGCGCCGCCGUCCUCGGCAGCCAUGCAGAGCGUGCGCAUGGCGUACACCGCGGACGGCACACCCGUGUUUGCCCCGGUGAGCUCUGCGGUCGCGCCGCCGGGUUACCAACCGGCAGGGUCUGCAGCACCAGCGCAUGGCUCUAGCAUGUCCGCUGCUCGGGCCGCCGGAGGAAAUGGCGUCGCUGCGCCGCCGGGCAUGGGUGAACCGUCGGCGAAGAAGAAGCGCGGGCGGCCAAGGAAGUACGGGCCCGACGCGGCCAUGUCUCUGGCACUGGUGACUGUGCCGACGGCUGCAGGCUCGACAGGUGUGACACAGGGUGCUUCUGGGCGGCCGUUCUCACCCACGCUGCCGGGAAACUUCGUGCCGUCGGCGUCGCCGGAUGGAGGGAAGAAACGCGGCCGGCCCAAGGGAUCUACCAACAAGCCCCGCGUGGAUGGUGCCGGUAACAUCUCGAUUCCCUAUUAAUAUUCUGUGUUGAACACUAUUUGCAUUUUCAAGAUUUUAGGUCCAAGAAUAGUGAUAACUGAAGCUCAUCAUUUUGUGUGUGUAUGGAUUUAUGGUAGAAUAUGAGUACAGGUUUCUCUUUGAACUGGGUUAAGUGUGCUAUUUGUCUAUGGUCAGAGGCUAAAUGAGAUAUAUUGCACACUCUACACUGUCAGAAUUAAAGGGUGAACUGCUAGGGAGAUUUAGCAAUCUAGCACUCCCUUGUUGUUUUACUUUGAUUGAUUCGAAAUUGAGAAUAUUGGUAAGGCAGGUUUACCUAAAGCAUUUACAGUGAUCUCUCUCAAAAAAAAAAGCAUUUACAGUGAUUCACGUAUUGAUGCAUUUCUGAGAUGUUUAAUUUGAUGCUGUUUUUCUCCUUGAAUUAUGGACCAUACAAUUUUUUUGUUUGAAGUGUCCUGUUUGCAUAUUUUUAUUAUAUUAAUGUGACACUGAUGUUUGUUGACUUUGCAUCUGUGAAGUUCUUCUUUGCAUAGUUAGUCCUAAGUUUAAGCUAUUUUGCAGGGCCGGCAGGAGUUGGAUUCACACCUCAUGUUCUUACAGUUCAAGCUGGGGAGGUAUAGUAAUAUUUGAACAUUUGAACUUCCAUGCUAUACUCAAUGAUGUUUGAAGGAUGAACUACUUUUAAUCGGUUAAUCUUAUCCCAUGCAUCAAGAUAAUAUGCUGCUGAUGGUUAUGUGCAAUUUUUCUAGUUUACCCUCCCAAUUCUGACCCUACAAAUCUCAAUCAACCUUCAUAUCCGAUAUCCUAGAGCACAAAAUCCAGUCUGCAUUAAGCCAAUGUUAUUUUGGCCAGGAUUUCAUGUUGUGCUUUAGAAGAUUUAUAAUUUGAUCAUAAUUUUUAUUUAUUUUACUUAUUGAUGCUUUGCGGGUUUGUGCCUCCUUUUUGUUUUUUUUUAUGCUUUGCUAUACAUAUUUUACCCUGCUGCAUAACUUGGAUGCUACAUCGCCUUCCUCUAGAAAGUGUUAAGCUGGCGAGUUCUGUAGGUAUCAGCACAGCUUUCCUCUAACUAACAAAGAAUAUAUUGAACUCUGUUUUUCAGGAUGUAUCGUCAAAGAUUAUGUCAUUUUCUCAGAAUGGAACUCGUGCAGUUUGUGUUCUCUCAGCAAAUGGUUCCAUAUCAAAUGUAACACUUCGUCAAACUGGUACAUCAGGUGGAACUGUAACAUAUGAGGUUUGUACUUUUAACCAGUUUGAAGUAGUUCAAUCUGAAUUAGUUACCAGGUUGUGGGCUGUUUGCAAUAAAGCACGUAAGAUGUUGUCAUGAGGCAACGAGCAGUGCAAAUUCCUGCAUGGUUGUGGGGUUCAGUGUCCAUGUACAAUAUACAAUAUGUCACUCACCAAUGCUGAUUAUUUUUUGUUUCCUCCACAGGGCCGAUUUGAGAUACUGUCACUCUCCGGGUCGAUCUUUGUAACGGACAACGGAGGCCAGCGUACCCGAACAGGGGGCCUCAGCGUUUCGUUGGCUGGUCCUGACGGUCGUCUCUUGGGUGGAGGGGUCGCAGGACUUCUCAUAGCAGCUUCUCCAAUCCAGGUAUUGUUUUCUACCCCGCAAUUUUUCAUGUGCUAACAAAAGGAAAGUGCCAAUGACAUGAGAUGCUCUAACUCUGUGCAUAUUUUCUCCUCACUGGAUUUCAGCAAACGAGAAUCAUAUCAUUUACCAGUAUUACUCGUGUUGUAUGCAGAUAGUAGUGGGAAGCUUCAAUGCUGGUGGGAAAAAAGAGCCGAAGCCACAGGCUCCUCCUGAGCCCGUACCACUGAAGGUCGUUCCAAGCACUGGGAUGGCGGCCAACAGCCCCCCUUCAAGAGGCACAUUGAGCGAAUCGUCUGGUGGCACCGCAAGCCCAAGACAUCAAGGCUACGCCUCCAACAACAAUAACCAGCCGCCGAUCUUGUCCAGCAUGCCCUGGAAAUAAACUCAGCAUCCUUGACCGAAUUCGGACAUCGAUAGACUGUUGGUGAACUGCCUCCCUGGCAGGAAGUAGAAAUGUCACUUCUGUCUAACUAGCUCCCAUUUAGUCGUAUAAAUCAGAAGUUUAAUUAGGGAGCAUUGUAGCUGGUAUAAGUGGUAACUGCAGCUGCUGUGUAGGUCGUCUCAGCUUGAAUUUCUGUGCCACUUAGUUGUUUAUUGUUGUCUUGAGAUGAUGUAUUUAGGUAUGAUCUUGUGACCCUAUGAGGCGCUAUGGAAUAAUCAUGUUCUUAUGUUCAGUCAAUUUAU
Molecule: long non-coding RNA, 37951 nt
Filed under: Triticum aestivum (bread wheat)
Lineage: Eukaryota; Viridiplantae; Streptophyta; Magnoliopsida; Poales; Poaceae
Description: long non-coding RNA (TAES_LNC015971)
Source: RNAcentral